UGCAAGUCGAGCGAUGAAACACCUUCGGGUGUGAAUUAGCGGCGAACGGGUGAGGAACACGUGAAGAAUCUGCCUUCAACUCUGGGAUAACUCCGGGAAACCGGGGCUAAUACCGGAUAUGAGCCUCGAUCGCAUGAUUGGGGCUGGAAAGUUUUUCGGUUGAAGAUGACUUCGCGGCCUAUCAGCUUGUUGGUGAGGUAAUGGCUCACCAAGGCGACGACGGGUAGCCGGCCUGAGAGGGCGACCGGCCACACUGGGACUGAGACACGGCCCAGACUCCUACGGGAGGCAGCAGUGGGGAAUAUUGGGCAAUGGAGGAAACUCUGACCCAGCGACGCCGCGUGAGGGAUGAAGGCCUUCGGGUUGUAAACCUCUUUCAGUAGGGAAGAAGCGAAAGUGACGGUACCUACAGAAGAAGCACCGGCUAACUAUGUGCCAGCAGCCGCGGUAAUACAUAGGGUGCAAGCGUUGUCCGGAAUUAUUGGGCGUAAAGAGCUCGUAGGUGGUUCGAUACGUCGGAUGUGAAAAUCAGGGGCUCAACCCCUGACCUGCAUCCGAUACGGUCGAGCUAGAGUUUGGUAGGGGAGACUGGAAUUCCUGGUGUAGCGGUGGAAUGCGCAGAUAUCAGGAGGAACACCGAUGGCGAAGGCAGGUCUCUGGGCCAAUACUGACACUGAGGAGCGAAAGCGUGGGGAGCGAACAGGAUUAGAUACCCUGGUAGUCCACGCCGUAAACGGUGGGCGCUAGUUGUGCGAACCUUCCACGGUUUGUGCGACGCAGCUAACGCAUUAAGCGCCCCGCC
This 802-nucleotide ribosomal RNA is filed under the name uncultured bacterium. RNAcentral's name for it is "bacterial SSU rRNA". It matches the Rfam family "Bacterial small subunit ribosomal RNA", at positions 56 to 873 of the family's 1533-position model. The record is from RNAcentral.